GGAGGCGCGGCUACCUGCAAGUCGACGGUAACAGGAAGCAGCUUGCUGCUUUGCUGACGAGUGGCGGACGGGUGAGUAAUGUCUGGGGAUCUGCCUGAUGGAGGGGGAUAACUACUGGAAACGGUAGCUAAUACCGCAUAACGUCGCAAGACCAAAGAGGGGGACCUUCGGGCCUCUUGCCAUCAGAUGAACCCAGAUGGGAUUAGCUAGUAGGUGGGGUAACGGCUCACCUAGGCGACGAUCCCUAGCUGGUCUGAGAGGAUGACCAGCCACACUGGAACUGAGACACGGUCCAGACUCCUACGGGAGGCAGCAGUGGGGAAUAUUGCACAAUGGGCGCAAGCCUGAUGCAGCCAUGCCGCGUGUAUGAAGAAGGCCUUCGGGUUGUAAAGUACUUUCAGCGAGGAGGAAGGUGGUGAGUUUAAUACGCUCAUCAAUUGACGUUACUCGCAGAAGAAGCACCGGCUAACUCCGUGCCAGCAGCCGCGGUAAUACGGAGGGUGCAAGCGUUAAUCGGAAUUACUGGGCGUAAAGCGCACGCAGGCGGUCUGUCAAGUCGGAUGUGAAAUCCCCGGGCUCAACCUGGGAACUGCAUCCGAAACUGGCAGGCUUGAGUCUCCUAGAGGGGGGUAGAAUUCCAGGUGUAGCGGGGAAAUGCUUAGAGAUCUGGAAGAAUACCGGUGGCAAAAGGGGCCCCCUGGAACAAGACUGACGCUCAGGUGCGAAAACGGGGGGAGCAAACGGGAUUAAAUACCCGGGUAGCCACCCCCGAAAAGAUGUCAACUUGGAGGUUGUUCCCUUGAGGAAUGGGUUCCGGAGCUUACCCUUAAAUCCACCCCCUGGGGAUACGGCCCCCAGGGUAAAACUCAAUUAUUUUGCGGGGGCCCCCCCACCGGGGGAGAUGG
Molecule: ribosomal RNA, 905 nt
Filed under: Atlantibacter hermannii
Lineage: Bacteria; Pseudomonadati; Pseudomonadota; Gammaproteobacteria; Enterobacterales; Enterobacteriaceae
Description: bacterial SSU rRNA
Rfam family: Bacterial small subunit ribosomal RNA
Source: RNAcentral